This 497-nucleotide ribosomal RNA is filed under the name uncultured bacterium. RNAcentral's name for it is "partial 16S ribosomal RNA". It matches the Rfam family "Bacterial small subunit ribosomal RNA", at positions 28 to 507 of the family's 1533-position model. The record is from RNAcentral.
GACGAACGCUGGCGGCGUGCCUAAUACAUGCAAGUUGAGCGAUGAAGCUUGGUGCUUGCACCAAUUUGAAGAGCAGCGAACGGGUGAGUAACGCGUGGGGAAUCUGCCUUUGAGCGGGGGACAACAUUUGGAAACGAAUGCUAAUACCGCAUAACAACUUUAAACAUAAGUUUUAAGUUUGAAAGAUGCAAUUGCAUCACUCAAAGAUGAUCCCGCGUUGUAUUAGCUAGUUGGUGAGGUAAAGGCUCACCAAGGCGAUGAUACAUAGCCGACCUGAGAGGGUGAUCGGCCACAUUGGGACUGGGACACGGCCCAAACUCCUACGGGAGGCAGCAGUAGGGAAUCUUCGGCAAUGGACGAAAGUCUGACCGAGCAACGCCGCGUGAGUGAAGAAGGUUUUCGGAUCGUAAAACUCUGUUGGUAGAGAAGAAAGUUGGUGAGAGUGGAAAGCUCAUCAAGUGACGGUAACUACCCAGAAAGGGACGGCUAACUACGUG